UCAUUUGUUUCACUGGCUUUUCCCCUGAAAUCUGAUUGCCCCCUGAAGCGCCCCGUUCGGUCAUCGCCGAUUACGUCAGCGCACUCCCAUUGGCUGAGUGGGUUCGUUUGAAAUUUAACCCGCGUAUUUUUUUUCCUACCGCAUCUCGUAACGGCUGCUGCUCCGACAGUGCGUUUACAUCAUCUUCGUCUACUUAAACUUCAAUGCCUGGAAGUUAUGCUGUAUUCGAGGCAACGUUUCCACCAACAACUGAUAAAAACUGAAAACGCCCCCUCAACUUGAAAUGUCAGAUGUCAUCAACUUGGGGUAGUCUGUUUUUUUGAGUUACUACCAGUUCCUUGCACGUUUAUGGAAUGAGGUCAAAUCAACAUGACUGUGCACACUGUGAACAGUAGUAGCUCCUGAAACCACUGUUGCCCCUGACAUUAAUACCAGUCUGAGAUUAGGCCUGCUGAUGACAGUGAUGGUGUAAUGUGGGUGUAUGUGCUGUGGGUGGUGGGAGUCUGUCUUCUUAUCACCAUCAUUGUGCUCUCCGUCUGCUCUCUCAGACACAGAAUGCCAUUCAUGCCUAAAAAGAGCAAGGAGAGUGUCUCUUCGGCCUGCUCUUGUUCCUCUGCAAUCAUCAGGAAGGGGAAGGCAUCCACCAGUGUGAACUACUUUCCUCCCUGUGAAACUUAUAGGUCUUGAGCAAACAAGCUGUUUCCCUGCCAAGGCCAGUGUUCUGUGAAAACACACACACCAAACAUCUCAUCUAACAAAAGGAAAUCUUUUGGAUCUUUUUUUUUUUAUUAAAAGAUGCAGUAUUAAAAAAACACCCACAAGGUCAAAACAGCAACAUAUUCCUAUCCAUGUGGGGUCAUUUGGUCCCAACCAAGAUAUAAAAACAACCCAUCCUCAUCUGGGUGACACUGGAUAGUGUGAUUAUAAAUCAUUUCUCUUCUAUAACUGUAAACCAUAAAGUCAAACAGUGCUAAGUGUGUCAAAUGGAACUUGAAAUGAGCAUCAUUAGAGUUGCAUCAACCUGAAGUUAUCAACUGUUCAAUUAUAUAUACACUAUAUGGCCAAAAGUAUGUGGACACCUGACCAUCACAUCAUAUGUGAUUCUUCCCCAAACUGUUGCCACAAAGUUGGAAGCACACAUUUUCUAGAAUGUCUUUGUAUACUGUAGUAUUAAGAUUUCCCUUCACUGGAACUAAGAGGCCUAAAGCUGUUCCAGCAUGACAAUGCCCCUGUACACAAAGCGCGCUCCAUGUAGACAUUGUUUGCCAAGGUUGGAGUGCAGGAAGCCCUGACCUCAACCCCACUGAACACCUUUGGGAUGAAUUGAAAUGCCGACUGUACGUCCGGCCGUCUCAUCUGACAUCAGUGUCAAGCCUCACUAAUGCUCAUGGGGCUGAAUGGGAAAUUCCCACAGCCACAGUCCAAGAUGUAAUGGUACCCUUCCCAGAAGAGUGGAGGCUGUUAUAGCGGCAAGGGGGCAACAUUGGAAUGGGAUUUUAAACAAGCACAAUGUUACAAGAAGCUUUUAGAGACCUUGUGUCAGUUUGAAAAUGAAAACCAUCAAUAUGUAGGGUAGCUGAACUUUUGUGCAGACAGUUUCUCUGUGUUAUAUGAGACAUGGACAGUAAUUAAAUCCAAAUAACUGGUUACAGACAGUAUACCAAAAGUUAGCUACAUUACCCAAACCAGGGGAGGAUUUAUUGAUGUGGAAUGCUAGAAAAGAGAAAAAUGUUACAAGCCUUAAAAGUCACGAGUGUCUCUUUCUGACCUUGACUAAGUGAGGGGGUUGCCAGUUACACACUUAGAGAACAUGUGUGGGCCCACACCAAUACGAUCCUCUGUAGCUCUGUAUGAGAAAACUAAGUGUAACUGGUAAACUCAUAAUCCAGUAACUUGGAGGUCCACUCUGCACUUUUACUUCACUGGUCACUUUUACUCAUGUAACUUGUCACUUUGGAUUCAGUCACUUUAUUCUGGUCACUUUAGAACUAGGGUAAUAUCACUAUAUUCCAUAUAUAGUGUUUUAUUUUAUUUUUUAUUUUACUUUAUCUUAAUUAAUUUACUUUUUAUUUUAUUUAUUUUAUACUGUUUGUUCUUUUUUUUUUUUCUUUUCCAGGGCUAUUUUUAUACUUUCUACACAUUCUGCUGUUUUGUAGUAAUUUUCGGUUUCUUCUGUGUAUAUAUACCUAUAUAGAGCAAGUGUUGGCAAGAAAUUUCCCACUGGGAUGAAUAAUUCUUAAUCUCAGCUUGUAUUAUCUUAAACUGAAGGUUAAAUCAUUAGAAACAGCCUCAGAGCAAAGUGGUGGACAACCUCUUGCUACAGCAGACAUGAUGAGCUACCAAGACAAUGUGUUCCCAAUGCCAAGUGUAUAUCAUGCAGUAUAUUUCAUUACUUUGUUUUUUCUUUGGUGACUCUUCUGCCAUCGCCAAAGCCCUCUUUCUCUCUCAGACAUACACACUCAAAGUAGAUACUUACUCUUGGGGGUUUUGGAUUAACACAUGACUUCCUCUAUUGCUUGUAAAAGCAGCCUGAGACUUGAACUACUGCUAUGACAGGUUUUGAUAUGCAGCUUGAGAGGAAACGUUACUGCCCAGUUUUUUUCUUCCUACUAAAAGAUUUCAAAAGCAUCACACAUUUGCAAUACUUGAGAAGAAAUAACUGAAUUUGACCCAUGUCUUCCUUAUACACUACCCCACAUUUACUGCUGCAUUGUCUUGUUUUUAUUAGAAUCUUUUAUUAGAAUCUAAUCUAAUUAGAUUAGAAUCUAAUCUAACUGAGAUUUUAGGCAACUAUAAUUAAGAGCUGUAGAGUCAUACAGCAAUACUAAUUACACAUUCUGAGACUGUCUUUGUUAUUUGCAAUACUCAGAAGUAAAUGAGUGAAUUUGACCCAUAUCUUCCUUAUACACUACGGCACAUUUACUGCUGCAUUGUCUUGUAAUCACUCAUCUUUUUUAGAAUCUAAGUCAUAUUCACGCCUUCUUUUUACCUCCUUAAAUGUGUGUCUAGGAAUUAUUAAUAAACAACAGCCUCUGAGACAAAAAGCAAAAGCCACAUAUCUUUAUCUGCCUAAAUGUAUUCAAUACCAAUAAUUUAUAUUUUAGGCAACUAGAGUUAAGAUCUUAUACAACAAAAGAGCCAUACAACAAUACUAACUUAAUCUCCUCUUUACCUACUUGAUUGAUGAGUGGGUAAUACUGUUAUUUACUUUGUAGAAAUCUAUUAUAAUUUAACAGUAGCUGACGCAGGGACUGACUGGGGCAAAAAUUCAUUCAACCCUGGCAUUUGUCUCAUUGACUGGUGCUACCUCAAAACUAUAAGACCUGUAUCACAACUUGCAUGGCCUAAGCAAUGAGUCAAUGUCAAAUAGAACAAAAAAGAUACAGUACAAUAGAAAAAAAUGUAAUAUGCUUGCUAGCCUAGUUUUUGUCAAAGCAUGAGGCAGUUAACAUCACUGCGAACAUAACCUGUAGCUUGUGUCUCUUCCUCUUUCUUCACAGCUUCAUCUUCAUCCUCUACCAGUGACUCUGAAUUGGUGGCUGGUGCUGUGGGGUUAUUGGUGCUAUGAAGAAUGAUCUACACCACUGCUAGUUUUACCACUUUUUUUUUGGUGGCCUGGCCCACAAUGUGGGGGGUGCUCACCAUUUUACACAUAAAUAUUUAUAUAUGUAUUAAUGAUGUUAAUAAGUAAUAUAUGAUAUAUCUUAUGAGGGUUGGUAAACUACACAAUAAAUAGGAAAAGAGAGUGGUAGUGUGAAGAAUAGAAGUUCACUAUACUAUAAUGUAUAUGUGACAAAUAAAAAAAAAAGUGUGGUAUUUUCAUUAAUGAUUAAUAACUGUGUGGUUUUGCAACUAAUAAUUAAUCACUUUUCUUCAUAGUUAUGAUAAUACAAGUUGAAUUUGAAUUCAUCCUGUAUGUGACUAUAUACCUGACACACUUUUCAUGCUAAUGGAAAUAUUUGGACUUUAUGUGCUGCUGCCUGCUUGUCUUACUCUGAGCAUACUCUGAUAGAGUCAAGGUCAGGUUUGAGCAUAUUAUUCAGUAUAUAAGGAAAUUAGACCCUUCACAGCACACUGUUUGUAUGUGCAUUUAUAGAAGUAGUACAAUAACUAACACCAUUUAAUAUUUUAUGACAAUGGUGUAAAUUAAUGGUUUAUUGUCAGUAAUAGUUUUUUGGUGUAGCAACAAGUACUUGUAAGCAAUGUAAGACAUGGCUAUAAUCCUUCCUCUUGGGCACGGUAAUCCCCGCUGUUGGGGGGAUGUGGCUAAUGUGGUAGUGUGGCUUCUGAAUGCUUGCUGCUGUACAUCUUAAAGGGAUUUUUGUAUUAAAAUGUAUUCUCACAAAGCUUGUGGACCUUAUGCACAAGUAUGGAACAUUUUCUUUAAAACAUGGGUCAUUUUUCUGUAAUAAACCCAACUGCACUUAAAUAUACAGAAGAAAAUUUUGAAAAAACUGGCUGCUUUUAAUGAGGUGUUAAAAAAUACGGAGGAAUGUGAAGGAGCAUAAAUCUUUUGAUGUGCAUAUAGAAUAGGACUUAAGGACAAUACAGGUGGAGUGCAACCCUUCAUGAAUACAUACAG
Long non-coding RNA from Pangasianodon hypophthalmus (striped catfish), 4582 nucleotides. RefSeq lists it as uncharacterized. The record is from RefSeq and is a predicted model, not a curated record. NCBI's taxonomy places the organism in Eukaryota, Metazoa, Chordata, Actinopteri, Siluriformes, Pangasiidae. The transcript has 5 exons.